RNAcentral lists this ribosomal RNA (253 nucleotides) under uncultured bacterium. RNAcentral describes it as "partial 16S ribosomal RNA". It matches the Rfam family "Bacterial small subunit ribosomal RNA", at positions 524 to 776 of the family's 1533-position model. The record is from RNAcentral.
GACAGAGGGUGCAAACGUUGCUCGGAAUUACUGGGCGUAAAGCGCGUGUAGGCGGAUCGGCAAGUCAGGUGUGAAAGCCCUGGGCUCAACCCAGGAACUGCACUUGAAACUGCCGGACUAGAGUGGUGGAGAGGGAAGCGGAAUUCCUGGUGUAGAGGUGAAAUUCGUAGAUAUCAGGAGGAACACCAGUGGCGAAGGCGGCUUCCUGGACACUCACUGACGCUGAGACGCGAAAGCGUGGGUAGCAAACAGG